UACGGAGGGAGCUAGCGUUGUUCGGAAUUACUGGGCGUAGAGCGCACGUAGGCGGCUUUGUAAGUUAGAGGUGAAAGCCCGGAGCUCAACUCCGGAACUGCCUUUAAGACUGCAUCGCUUGAAUCCAGGAGAGGUGAGUGGAAUUCCGAGUGUAGAGGUGAAAUUCGUAGAUAUUCGGAAGAACACCAGUGGCGAAGGCGGCUCACUGGACUGGUAUUGACGCUGAGGUGCGAAAGCGUGGGGAGCAAACAGG
This 253-nucleotide ribosomal RNA is filed under the name uncultured bacterium. RNAcentral's name for it is "partial 16S ribosomal RNA". It matches the Rfam family "Bacterial small subunit ribosomal RNA", at positions 524 to 776 of the family's 1533-position model. The record is from RNAcentral.